This 497-nucleotide ribosomal RNA is filed under the name uncultured bacterium. RNAcentral's name for it is "partial 16S ribosomal RNA". It matches the Rfam family "Bacterial small subunit ribosomal RNA", at positions 28 to 507 of the family's 1533-position model. The record is from RNAcentral.
GACGAACGCUGGCGGCGUGCCUAAUACAUGCAAGUUGAGCGCUGAAGGUUGGUACUUGUACCGACUGGAUGAGCAGCGAACGGGUGAGUAACGCGUGGGGAAUCUGCCUUUGAGCGGGGGACAACAUUUGGAAACGAAUGCUAAUACCGCAUAAAAACUUUAAACACAAGUUUUAAGUUUGAAAGAUGCAAUUGCAUCACUCAAAGAUGAUCCCGCGUUGUAUUAGCUAGUUGGUGAGGUAAAGGCUCACCAAGGCGAUGAUACAUAGCCGACCUGAGAGGGUGAUCGGCCACAUUGGGACUGAGACACGGCCCAAACGCCUACGGGAGGCAGCAGUAGGGAAUCUUCGGAAAUGGACGAAAGUCUGACCGAGCAACGCCGCGUGAGUGAAGAAGGUUUUCGGAUCGUAAAACUCUGUUGGUAGAGAAGAACGUUGGUGAGAGUGGAAAGCUCAUCAAGUGACGGUAACUACCCAGAAAGGGACGGCUAACUACGUG